Molecule: ribosomal RNA, 245 nt
Filed under: uncultured bacterium
Lineage: Bacteria
Description: partial 16S ribosomal RNA
Rfam family: Bacterial small subunit ribosomal RNA
Source: RNAcentral
UACGUAGGUGGCGAGCGUUGUCCGGAUUUAUUGGGUUUAAAGGGUGCGUAGGCGGCCCUGUAAGUCAGUGGUGAAAUACGGCAGCUCAACUGUCGAGGUGCCAUUGAUACUGCGGGGCUUGAGUGUUGACGAGGCAGGCGGAAUUGACGGUGUAGCGGUGAAAUGCUUAGAUAUCGUCAAGAACACCGACAGCGAAGGCAGCUUGCCAGGCAACAACUGACGCUCAGGCACGAAAGUGCGGGGAU